Molecule: long non-coding RNA, 815 nt
Organism: Rosa chinensis
Lineage: Eukaryota; Viridiplantae; Streptophyta; Magnoliopsida; Rosales; Rosaceae
Exons: 6
Source: RefSeq, a predicted model, not a curated record
CAGAUUGUGAUAGAGAUGAUAUUUAGGAUGAAGCUUGGUUCUUAUAGUCCAAUUCGGAGAAGAAGUCUGGACCUUGGACUCUGUAUAAAUAGGAACACCCCCCACCUUGAUUCUGCAUUCUUCACCAAGAAUCGUGCAUUGGGCAUCUCGAGUCGAAUUGGACGUGGCUUCUCCCUGGGUUUUGAUUAACUGUCUCUGCUGGGAUUUUUUUACUCGUCAUCUUGAGUUGAAUUUGGACGUGGCUUCACCUCGAGCAAACGUGUCCACUCACACAUUUUAGAAGCUUUCAUUUUGACAAGCUUAUGUGUGAAGUUAAUUGUAAUCAUCUCCAUGUUUGAGACAUUCCUCCACCGUAAAGCUUCGUGGCUGCUUGAGGAGUGAUUUCUACUUCUUUAAUUAAAUACACAGUUUUGAAGAAGAGCAUCACAGACACCAUUUGAACCAUCACUCGACAGAGGUAGUCUUAACUUCGCAAGAUGUUGCACGUAUUUGUCUAGGAGUGAAAAGGCAUGGAGCCAUUUGUUACCGAAGUUGAUCUAUGUCUCCACUAUUUCUGCCACUAUCUUAUGCCAGGUAACAAGAAUCAUACGGCUCCCAUCUCUCUUGCGUUUUUGUGGCUGUAACUUAGUGAUCGAAGGUGAGCUGAGUGAAUGCUGCAAACUCUCUGAUCAAGGGUGGAGUGAUUUCUUCCUUUGGUGUUGAAACUCUGCACGGGGAUCAUCUUGGAGCAGCUUCCCCACUAUUGUGAACCCAAGAACUUUGCAGAUUUGUCCUUGGCGUGAACCAACAGCCCGAGGCUUUCACUUGACACUCAU